AUGGCGGAGUCGCCGGAGCAGUUCAGGGGCCAGUCCCGCCUCCCCCGCUUCGCCGAGCCCCUCCGCUACGACCUCGUCCUCCGCCCCGACCUCGCCGCCUGCACCUUCUCCGGCUCCGCGUCCGCCGCCGUCGCCGUGUCCUCGCCCACCCGCUUCCUCGUCCUCAACGCCGCCGAGCUCGCCGUCGACCGCUCCUCCAUCCGCUUCCAGGACUGGGCGCCGACGGAGGUGGCCCAGUUCGAGGAGGAUGAGAUCCUGGUCCUCGGGUUCGACCGGGAGCUGCCCCUCGGCGAGGGCGUGCUCGCCAUGGAUUUCACCGGCACCCUCAACGACCAGAUGAGGGGCUUCUACAGGAGCAAGUAUGAGUACAAUGGGGAGGCAAGAAACAUGGCGGUUACACAGUUUGAAGCUGCUGAUGCACGGCGGUGCUUUCCAUGCUGGGAUGAGCCUGCAUUUAAGGCCAAGUUCAAGAUAACAUUGGAGGUUCCAGCUGAACUGGUAGCAUUGUCCAACAUGCCAGUAGUUAAGGAGACAGUCUGCGGGCCUCUGAAGACUGUCUAUUAUGAGGAAUCUCCACUUAUGUCAACAUAUCUAGUCGCAAUAGUUGUUGGUUUGUUUGAUUACAUAGAGAGCUCAACGUUAGAAGGCACCAAAGUUCGUGUGUAUACCCAAGUUGGCAAGACUAGUCAAGGAAAGUUCGCAUUAGAUGUUGGGGUGAAGUCACUGGAUCUAUUCAAGGAUUACUUCGCCACUCCUUACCCACUACCUAAGUUGGAUAUGAUUGCUAUCCCUGAUUUUGCUGCUGGAGCUAUGGAGAACUAUGGGUUGGUCACUUACCGAGAAUCAGCUUUGCUUUAUGAUGAGCAAUUAUCGUCAGCAUCCAACAAACAACAGGUAGCAAUCACCGUCGCGCAUGAAUUGGCUCACCAAUGGUUUGGCAAUCUUGUAACCAUGGAAUGGUGGACUCACUUGUGGCUAAACGAGGGUUUUGCUUCAUGGGUGAGUUAUUUAGCUGUAGAAUCCAUUUUUCCUGAAUGGAAUAACUGGACACAAUUCCUUGAUGAGACGACCUCUGGCCUCAGACUGGAUGCACUCGCAGAGUCUCAUCCUAUUGAGGUUGAUGUAAACCAUGCCAGUGAAAUCGAUGCGAUUUUUGAUUCCAUAAGCUACGACAAGGGAGCUUCUGUCAUUCGCAUGCUACAAAGCUACCUUGGUGCAGAGCGGUUUCAGAAAGCUUUGGCUUCAUACAUAAAGAAGUACGCAUACUCAAACGCUAAAACCGAAGACCUAUGGGCUGUUCUUGAGGAGGAAACUGGGGAGCCUGUCAAGGAUCUGAUGACUACAUGGACUAAGCAACAAGGAUAUCCUGUUAUAUACGCAAAACUAAAUGGGCAAGAUUUGGAACUUGAGCAGGCUCAAUUUCUGUCAGAUGGAUCAUCUGGUCCUGGCAUGUGGAUCGUUCCUAUGACAGCAUGCUGUGGCUCGUACGAUCUGAAUAAGAAGUUUCUGUUGAAAGGCAAGACCGAUACGAUGCAUAUAAAAGAUUUUGCAGCCUCCCAAAGUGGCCAGAAUUUUUGGAUCAAACUGAACAUUGAUCAAACUGGAUUUUAUAGAGUGAAGUAUGAUGAUGAACUUGCAGCCGGACUUGAAAAUGCAAUAAAAGCCAAGAAACUCUCUUUAAUGGAUAUGAUUGGUAUUGUGGAAGAUUCUUAUGCCCUUUCUGUUGCUUGCAAACAAACACUGACAUCAUUGCUUCGUUUGCUAAAUGCUUAUCGUCAUGAGUCUGAUUACACUGUACUUUCACAUGUAACCUCUGUAUGUUUAAGCGUUAAUAAAAUAUCAACUGAUGCUAAUCCUGACUUGUCUAGCGAUAUCAAACAACUUUUGAUCAAGCUUCUUCUGUUAGCUGCCAAAAGAGUAGGCUGGGAUCCUAAGGAUGGUGAGAGCCAUCUUGAUGUAAUGCUUAGGUCACUGCUCUUGAUUGCCCUUGUCAAGCUCGGACAUGACGAGACUAUAAAGGAGGGAAUUCGGCGUUUCCAUAUCUUCUUAGAAGACCGAAAAACUCCCCUUCUACCUCCAGACAAUAGAAAGGCAGCAUACCUUGCUGUGAUGCGGACCGUGAGUACCUCAAACAGGACCGGUUAUGAUGUUCUCCUGAAAAUCUACAAGGAAACGUCAGAAGCACAGGAGAAGUCUCGUAUCUUAGGCUCGUUGUCUUCAUGCCCAGACAAGGAUAUUGUUGUUGAGGCAUUGAACCUUAUGCUUACAGACGAGGUACGGAAUCAAGAUGCAUUUUAUGUUCUUGGUGGUAUUAGCUUAGAAGGACGAGAAGCUGCAUGGGCCUGGCUGAAGGAUAACUGGGAUCACGUUGUUAAGACUUGGCCAUCAAGCUCACUCAUAUCGGACUUCGUUAAUUCUACCGUUUCACCGUUCACCUCUGAGGAGAAAGCUGCUGAGGUUUCCGAGUUCUUUGCCACUCGCGUGAAACCGUCAUUCGAAAGAGCGUUGAAGCAGAGCCUCGAGAGGGUGCGGAUCAGUGCUAGAUGGAUCGACAGCAUCAAGAGCGAGCCCAGCCUUGCGCAAACGGUGCAGCAGCUGCUGCUGCAGGAGUUUUAA
RNAcentral lists this ribosomal RNA (2616 nucleotides) under Triticum aestivum (bread wheat). RNAcentral describes it as "partial small subunit ribosomal RNA". Lineage: Eukaryota; Viridiplantae; Streptophyta; Magnoliopsida; Poales; Poaceae. The record is from RNAcentral.